GAUAUGAACCGUUAUAACCGGCGAUUUCCGAAUGGGGAAACCCAGUGUGUUUCGACACACUAUCAUUAACUGAAUCCAUAGGUUAAUGAGGCGAACCGGGGGAACUGAAACAUCUAAGUACCCCGAGGAAAAGAAAUCAACCGAGAUUCCCCCAGUAGCGGCGAGCGAACGGGGAGGAGCCCAGAGCCUGAAUCAGUGUGUGUGUUAGUGGAAGCGUCUGGAAAGGCGCGCGAUACAGGGUGACAGCCCCGUACACAAAAAUGCACAUAUUGUGAGCUCGAUGAGUAGGGCGGGACACGUGGUAUCCUGUCUGAAUAUGGGGGGACCAUCCUCCAAGGCUAAAUACUCCUGACUGACCGAUAGUGAACCAGUACCGUGAGGGAAAGGCGAAAAGAACCCCGGCGAGGGGAGUGAAAAAGAACCUGAAACCGUGUACGUACAAGCAGUGGGAGCCUCUUUAUGGGGUGACUGCGUACCUUUUGUAUAAUGGGUCAGCGACUUAUAUUCUGUAGCAAGGUUAACCGAAUAGGGGAGCCGAAGGGAAACCGAGUCUUAACUGGGCGUUAAGUUGCAGGGUAUAGACCCGAAACCCGGUGAUCUAGCCAUGGGCAGGUUGAAGGUUGGGUAACACUAACUGGAGGACCGAACCGACUAAUGUUGAAAAAUUAGCGGAUGACUUGUGGCUGGGGGUGAAAGGCCAAUCAAACCGGGAGAUAGCUGGUUCUCCCCGAAAGCUAUUUAGGUAGCGCCUCGUGAAUUCAUCUCCGGGGGUAGAGCACUGUUUCGGCAAGGGGGUCAUCCCGACUUACCAACCCGAUGCAAACUGCGAAUACCGGAGAAUGUUAUCACGGGAGACACACGGCGGGUGCUAACGUCCGUCGUGAAGAGGGAAACAACCCAGACCGCCAGCUAAGGUCCCAAAGUCAUGGUUAAGUGGGAAACGAUGUGGGAAGGCCCAGACAGCCAGGAUGUUGGCUUAGAAGCAGCCAUCAUUUAAAGAAAGCGUAAUAGCUCACUGGUCGAGUCGGCCUGCGCGGAAGAUGUAACGGGGCUAAACCAUGCACCGAAGCUGCGGCAGCGACACUAUGUGUUGUUGGGUAGGGGAGCGUUCUGUAAGCCUGUGAAGGUGGCCUGUGAGGGUUGCUGGAGGUAUCAGAAGUGCGAAUGCUGACAUAAGUAACGAUAAAGCGGGUGAAAAGCCCGCUCGCCGGAAGACCAAGGGUUCCUGUCCAACGUUAAUCGGGGCAGGGUGAGUCGACCCCUAAGGCGAGGCCGAAAGGCGUAGUCGAUGGGAAACAGGUUAAUAUUCCUGUACUUGGUGUUACUGCGAAGGGGGGACGGAGAAGGCUAUGUUGGCCGGGCGACGGUUGUCCCGGUUUAAGCGUGUAGGCUGGUUUUCCAGGCAAAUCCGGAAAACCAAGGCUGAGGCGUGAUGACGAGGCACUACGGUGCUGAAGCGACAAAUGCCCUGCUUCCAGGAAAAGCCUCUAAGCAUCAGGUAACAUCAAAUCGUACCCCAAACCGACACAGGUGGUCAGGUAGAGAAUACCAAGGCGCUUGAGAGAACUCGGGUGAAGGAACUAGGCAAAAUGGUGCCGUAACUUCGGGAGAAGGCACGCUGAUAUGUAGGUGAAGCGACUUGCUCGUGGAGCUGAAAUCAGUCGAAGAUACCAGCUGGCUGCAACUGUUUAUUAAAAACACAGCACUGUGCAAACACGAAAGUGGACGUAUACGGUGUGACGCCUGCCCGGUGCCGGAAGGUUAAUUGAUGGGGUUAGCGGUAACGCGAAGCUCUUGAUCGAAGCCCCGGUAAACGGCGGCCGUAACUAUAACGGUCCUAAGGUAGCGAAAUUCCUUGUCGGGUAAGUUCCGACCUGCACGAAUGGCGUAAUGAUGGCCAGGCUGUCUCCACCCGAGACUCAGUGAAAUUGAACUCGCUGUGAAGAUGCAGUGUACCCGCGGCAAGACGGAAAGACCCCGUGAACCUUUACUAUAGCUUGACACUGAACAUUGAGCCUUGAUGUGUAGGAUAGGUGGGAGGCUUUGAAGUGUGGACGCCAGUCUGCAUGGAGCCGACCUUGAAAUACCACCCUUUAAUGUUUGAUGUUCUAACGUUGGCCCGUAAUCCGGGUUGCGGACAGUGUCUGGUGGGUAGUUUGACUGGGGCGGUCUCCUCCUAAAGAGUAACGGAGGAGCACGAAGGUUGGCUAAUCCUGGUCGGACAUCAGGAGGUUAGUGCAAUGGCAUAAGCCAGCUUGACUGCGAGCGUGACGGCGCGAGCAGGUGCGAAAGCAGGUCAUAGUGAUCCGGUGGUUCUGAAUGGAAGGGCCAUCGCUCAACGGAUAAAAGGUACUCCGGGGAUAACAGGCUGAUACCGCCCAAGAGUUCAUAUCGACGGCGGUGUUUGGCACCUCGAUGUCGGCUCAUCACAUCCUGGGGCUGAAGUAGGUCCCAAGGGUAUGGCUGUUCGCCAUUUAAAGUGGUACGCGAGCUGGGUUUAGAACGUCGUGAGACAGUUCGGUCCCUAUCUGCCGUGGGCGCUGGAGAACUGAGGGGGGCUGCUCCUAGUACGAGAGGACCGGAGUGGACGCAUCACUGGUGUUCGGGUUGUCAUGCCAAUGGCACUGCCCGGUAGCUAAAUGCGGAAGAGAUAAGUGCUGAAAGCAUCUAAGCACGAAACUUGC
Molecule: ribosomal RNA, 2684 nt
Filed under: Escherichia coli
Lineage: Bacteria; Pseudomonadati; Pseudomonadota; Gammaproteobacteria; Enterobacterales; Enterobacteriaceae
Description: partial 23S ribosomal RNA
Rfam family: Bacterial large subunit ribosomal RNA
Source: RNAcentral